UGUAAUUUGUUGUAUGAUGCAUAUAAAAUUUUGAUUUUUAAGGUUUAAGUUUAAUUCUUAAAGUUACAU
RNAcentral lists this transfer RNA (69 nucleotides) under Macrosteles quadrimaculatus. RNAcentral's name for it is "tRNA-Gln". Lineage: Eukaryota; Metazoa; Arthropoda; Insecta; Hemiptera; Cicadellidae. The record is from RNAcentral.